AUUGCAGUUUCAUAUGCAAAGCAUGCAUCAGCCACAUCCAUGCUAUCUCCUAAAGCAGUCAUUCUGAAACCCAAUCUGGGGACAGUGCAGACUAAAUAAAAUUUCAUUUUGAUUUGGCCUCCCGCUGAGAAUGGGACUGCUUUGUUUCAGCCGACAGAACCAGCAAGCCAGAAAGGUGUUGAAUACACAAAUACUGACUUAACGGACAAUUAUGAGAACUAUCAAAACUUAUGUUCAUUCUCAAAAUGAGCACCUGAACUUCCUAAACUUCCAAGCUCACAGCUGCUUGUGGCAGUAUGUGAAUGGCAGCUGUCUCACUGGAGAAGAGAUUCCGCCUUGCAGUCCUGGAGGAACGCUUGGACUCAGCACAGUCCCAGACAGCCCCUCAAGAUCCUAGAUGAAG
This is a long non-coding RNA of Gallus gallus (chicken), 403 nucleotides long. RefSeq lists it as uncharacterized. NCBI's taxonomy places the organism in Eukaryota, Metazoa, Chordata, Aves, Galliformes, Phasianidae. The record is from RefSeq and is a predicted model, not a curated record. The transcript has 3 exons.